CGGCGGCUCGUGCGUGGUGCUCGGCGGCGAAUACGUCGUCGUCGGAGGCGAAUACGUCGUCGUCGACGGCGGUUGGAGGCUGCUGGUCGGCGGC
This 94-nucleotide transfer RNA is filed under the name Mycobacterium mantenii. RNAcentral describes it as "tRNA-Val". Lineage: Bacteria; Bacillati; Actinomycetota; Actinomycetes; Mycobacteriales; Mycobacteriaceae. The record is from RNAcentral.